This 633-nucleotide ribosomal RNA is filed under the name Pseudomonas sp. WD11. RNAcentral's name for it is "bacterial SSU rRNA". It matches the Rfam family "Bacterial small subunit ribosomal RNA", at positions 56 to 685 of the family's 1533-position model. The record is from RNAcentral. Lineage: Bacteria; Pseudomonadati; Pseudomonadota; Gammaproteobacteria; Pseudomonadales; Pseudomonadaceae.
UGCAGUCGAGCGGUAGAGAGAAGCUUGCUUCUCUUGAGAGCGGCGGACGGGUGAGUAAUGCCUAGGAAUCUGCCUGGUAGUGGGGGAUAACGCUCGGAAACGGACGCUAAUACCGCAUACGUCCUACGGGAGAAAGCAGGGGACCUUCGGGCCUUGCGCUAUCAGAUGAGCCUAGGUCGGAUUAGCUAGUUGGUGAGGUAAUGGCUCACCAAGGCGACGAUCCGUAACUGGUCUGAGAGGAUGAUCAGUCACACUGGAACUGAGACACGGUCCAGACUCCUACGGGAGGCAGCAGUGGGGAAUAUUGGACAAUGGGCGAAAGCCUGAUCCAGCCAUGCCGCGUGUGUGAAGAAGGUCUUCGGAUUGUAAAGCACUUUAAGUUGGGAGGAAGGGCAGUUACCUAAUACGUAUCUGUUUUGACGUUACCGACAGAAUAAGCACCGGCUAACUCUGUGCCAGCAGCCGCGGUAAUACAGAGGGUGCAAGCGUUAAUCGGAAUUACUGGGCGUAAAGCGCGCGUAGGUGGUUUGUUAAGUUGGAUGUGAAAUCCCCGGGCUCAACCUGGGAACUGCAUUCAAAACUGACAAGCUAGAGUAUGGUAGAGGGUGGUGGAAUUUCCUGUGUAGCGGUGAA